RNAcentral lists this ribosomal RNA (209 nucleotides) under Magnaporthales sp. RNAcentral's name for it is "partial large subunit ribosomal RNA". Lineage: Eukaryota; Fungi; Ascomycota; Sordariomycetes; Magnaporthales. The record is from RNAcentral.
AAGCGCUUGCGGUCAGACUUGGCCGCCGUUGCUCGGCGGGACCUGUGUCCCGUUUGCUCUUCGGCGGUCAGGCCAGCAUCGACUUGGGCGGCUGGAUAAAGACCGCGGGAAAGUGGCUCUUCGGAGUGUUAUAGCCCGCGGUGGAAUGCAGCCUGCCUGGGUCGAGGUCUGCGCAUCUGCUAGGAUGCUGGCGUAAUGGCCCCAAGCGG